RNAcentral lists this ribosomal RNA (465 nucleotides) under Vreelandella stevensii. RNAcentral's name for it is "partial 16S ribosomal RNA". It matches the Rfam family "Bacterial small subunit ribosomal RNA", at positions 338 to 795 of the family's 1533-position model. The record is from RNAcentral. Lineage: Bacteria; Pseudomonadati; Pseudomonadota; Gammaproteobacteria; Oceanospirillales; Halomonadaceae.
CCUACGGGAGGCAGCAGUGGGGAAUAUUGGACAAUGGGGGCAACCCUGAUCCAGCCAUGCCGCGUGUGUGAAGAAGGCCCUCGGGUUGUAAAGCACUUUCAGUGAGGAAGAACGCCUGGUGGUUAAUACCCAUCAGGAAAGACAUCACUCACAGAAGAAGCACCGGCUAACUCCGUGCCAGCAGCCGCGGUAAUACGGAGGGUGCGAGCGUUAAUCGGAAUUACUGGGCGUAAAGCGCGCGUAGGUGGCUUGAUAAGCCGGUUGUGAAAGCCCCGGGCUCAACCUGGGAACGGCAUCCGGAACUAUCAAGCUAGAGUGCAGGAGAGGAAGGUAGAAUUCCCGGUGUAGCGGUGAAAUGCGUAGAGAUCGGGAGGAAUACCAGUGGCGAAGGCGGCCUUCUGGACUGACACUGACACUGAGGUGCGAAAGCGUGGGUAGCAAACAGGAUUAGAUACCCGUGUAGUC